CUUGGCCGUGAUGGUGAAGCUUGGUCUGGAAGCUCCGAGUUUAUCUUGGGAACUCAAGAGGAGAGGAUCACCCAGUUCACAGGUAUUUGAGGAUACAAACCCAUUGCUGGGCUCGGCUUUAAAAGUCUUAUCUGAAAUUCCUUGUGAAACAGAGUUUCAUCAAAGCCAAUCCAAAAGGCCUAUGUAAAAAUAACCAUUCUUGCUGCACUUUAUGCAAAUAAUCAGGCCAAAUAUAAGACUACAGUUUAUUUACAAUUUGUUUUUACCAAAAAUGAGGACUAGAGAGAAAAAUGGUGCUCCAAAGCUUAUCAUACAUUUGUCAUUAAGUCCUAGUCUCAUUAAUUGUUUUCAAGCUUUUCGCCUACAUUUUAGACUAACCCUGCUUAUUCCUGUGAAUCAAGUAGUGGUCUCCUGCAGCUUGGAAGAAAAAAUAAGGGAUGGGUAAUGUAAAAAUCUGGAUCAAUAUACUGGUUCUGGGCAAUUAUCCUGCAAAUUCUGCCAGGUAAUAAAAGUGAGUAGGGU
Molecule: long non-coding RNA, 522 nt
Filed under: Homo sapiens (human)
Lineage: Eukaryota; Metazoa; Chordata; Mammalia; Primates; Hominidae
Description: non-protein coding lnc-KANTR-23:24
Source: RNAcentral